This 449-nucleotide ribosomal RNA is filed under the name uncultured archaeon. RNAcentral describes it as "bacterial SSU rRNA". It matches the Rfam family "Archaeal small subunit ribosomal RNA", at positions 85 to 535 of the family's 1478-position model. The record is from RNAcentral.
ACGGCUCAGUAACACGUGGACAACCUACCCUUGGGACGGGGAUAAACCCGGGAAACUGGGUAUAAUACCCGAUAGAUCUCGGAAGCUGGAAUGCAUCGAGAUCGAAAGCUCCGGUGCCCAAGGAUGGGUCUGCGGCCUAUCAGGUAGUAGUGGGUGUAGCGUACCUACUAGCCUACGACGGGUACGGGUUGUGAGAGCAAGAGCCCGGAGAUGGAUUCUGAGACACGAAUCCAGGCCCUACGGGGUGCAGCAGGCGCGAAAACUUUACAAUGCCGGCAACGGCGAUAAGGGGACCUCGAGUGCCAGGUUACAAAUCUGGCUGUCGUAAUGCCUAAAAAGCAUUUCAUAGCAAGGGCCGGGCAAGACCGGUGCCAGCCGCCGCGGUAACACCGGCGGCUCGAGUGGUAACCGUUAUUAUUGGGUCUAAAGGGUCUGUAGCCGGCCGGAUA